Molecule: transfer RNA, 68 nt
Filed under: Mus macedonicus (Macedonian mouse)
Lineage: Eukaryota; Metazoa; Chordata; Mammalia; Rodentia; Muridae
Also listed under: 1 other name
Description: transfer RNA-Pro
Source: RNAcentral
UCAAGAAGAAGGAACUUUUUCCCCACCGCCAGCACCCAAAGCUGGUAUUCUAGUUAAACUACUUCUUG